Molecule: long non-coding RNA, 1143 nt
Filed under: Nicotiana benthamiana
Lineage: Eukaryota; Viridiplantae; Streptophyta; Magnoliopsida; Solanales; Solanaceae
Description: long non-coding RNA (NBEN_LNC030791)
Source: RNAcentral
UUUUCUCUUAAUUUGACGACCCCAGAACAUUCCCCCAUUUUACAUAAUAAUGUCUGGGGUUAUUGUCAACCCUAGAGACAUACCUCACCAUCCUCAUACCUAUCUUUGUAACUCCGCCGGCGGAGCCGCCGCCAGCAUAGGUCAGUCACCUCAAAUGAGCUCAAAUUAACAUCAUGUGAUCCUCUCUUCUCCCUCAUCUCAAAUCUAUAAACAUCUUUCUUCAAAACCCAGUCAAACGCCUCAAAUAAUCGAUCAAUGUUUUCCGGCCACGAUACCACCUUGGCCAAAUGACAUCAAAUUAACACCCUAGGGUCGCCUAAGUUCCCUUUACCCAAUCCCCCUAACCUCGUCCCUCGAAUGUGGCCAGAAAUGUGCGAAUGUCAAUUUUUAGCUUUCCGUCCAAAAGACUUAGUGCUCUGAAAUGAUUAAAAUGGGUGCUACAAGGUCCAUGUGCUUCCUUAGUAGGGUUUAUGCUGUUGUCAGCACCUGAAUUUCACCAGACAAGGUCGAAUUGAGAUUGUGAGAGGUGGACGGAUUUUAGUGAGUUCCUUUUCUAUUUUGAUUGUUAUUUUAUUUUGUUAAUUUUUGCAUGUGAAAGUUAGUUUAUGUUUCUUUUAAUUUUGUUUGUUAUUUUGAAUUAUUUCUGCUUCUUUGGUUAUCAAUGGUAAUUUGUAAUAUCAAUUAAUUCAUGUCUAUUAGCUGUUUAGUUGGGUUUACAUAUUGGUGCGUAAUCAUUCAGUGUUUGGAUUGAUAGUUUCAUAUUUGCAAAUUCAUGGUUUUAUUGAUAAUUGCUUGUCGAGGGUCUUUCGGGCAGGGGUAAGGCUACAUAUUACCCUCCCCAGACCCCACCUGGUGGGAAUAUACUGGGUAGUUGUUGUUGUUAUUGUUGUUGCUUGUAGUUUAGGAUUUGAAUUGUUUGUUUAGUAGAAUCUUCAAUAGUGACUGAUUUCAUUAGUAUAUAAUACUGGUUCAGUUUUAAGAAUAUCAGGCUGUAGUUUAAUGUUCAUGUUCGGUUUAGUUAAUUUGUAAAUCUCAGUAUGGUACAAGGAUAGUUUAGGGAUUUCAAUGAAAGAGAAUUUUCUAGAAGCUUCUAGGUGUAGGGGUAAAGGUAUAUUUCAGUAAAACUAAGGGACUGGAGUUGAA